Xenopus tropicalis (tropical clawed frog) is the source of this 793-nucleotide long non-coding RNA. RefSeq lists it as uncharacterized. The transcript is spliced from 3 exons. NCBI's taxonomy places the organism in Eukaryota, Metazoa, Chordata, Amphibia, Anura, Pipidae. The record is from RefSeq and is a predicted model, not a curated record.
GCCCAACAAUGCAUUAUGCUUGCAAUGCCACAAUCAGGCUAUUUAGUAAAUACGCAAUGUCUCACAGUGGCAGACUGGCAUAUUGAGACUGUAUUUAUACAAACAAACAGUACAUAGAUUUUGUAGGAAUUAGACCCUUUAUCAUGUGUAAAAGAUCAUUAUCUGCAGUUGUGAACUGAUAUUCUGGAUGCCAACAAGGGUCACAACAAGCCUUUACCUACCAGCAGUCAUAUGAUUUUCCAUGUAAAUAUUUUACUGAACAAAAUGUAGUUAAAAAUAACUAUUUAUUAUUUGCUUUAGCUCUUGAGGAAGAAUGCCAACGAACGGCUUGGGGUGUACGCCAAAGUCCGGGACCACCCAUUUUAUUCAUCAACUAAUUGGGUGGAAGUGGAAAAAAGAGCACUGGUGCCCCCUGUAAAACCACUAAUUAGAUCAGUUAAGGGGCUCAGUAAGAAUGACAACCCGUUCACCGAAGACAACGCUGGUGUGAUCCGCAUACUGAAGAACUUUGACUAUGUGGAUCCAAGCUGGCAGGAAUAAUACAUCUUUGUACCAGCACAGAGGUUCAUCCCAUCCAAAUGCCCCUCAAACAGUUCUGCAGACAUUCCACCAGCAGAAGAGCUAACAUCUGCCUCAUUCGCCUGCCUCCCUGUUUCAUCCUGUAUCAUCGGGUAAAGUAUAACAUACUCCUUCUACCGAGGUGAGCAGGUACGAUUUAUUGCCAUUUUACUCUGUGAAACUGAUCCCACUGCUGGUUUCACUGUCACCUCAUCGCAGGCAAUAACUAGAUAUC